Molecule: ribosomal RNA, 370 nt
Filed under: uncultured eukaryote
Lineage: Eukaryota
Description: partial 18S ribosomal RNA
Rfam family: Eukaryotic small subunit ribosomal RNA
Source: RNAcentral
CAAUAGCGUAUAUUAAAGUUGUUGCAGUUAAAAAGCUCGUAGUCGGAUUUCGGGUUGGCGCGGUCGGUCUGCCGUUGGGUAUGCACUGACUGUCGCCUUCCUUUCCGGGGUAGAUCGUGCGUUUACUCGUGCGUUUCUCCUCGCGUUUACUUUGAGAAAAUCAGGGUGUUCAAAGCAGGCCUUUGCCAUUGUAUGUGUUAGCAUGGGAUAAUGGAAUAGGACUCUGGUGCUAUUUUGUUGGUUUCGAACGCCGGGGUAAUGAUUAAUAGGGACAGUCAGGGGCACUCGUAUUCCGUAGAGAGAGGUGAAAUUCUUAGACCCACGGAAGACGCACUACUGCGAAAGCAUUUGCCAGGGAUGUUUUCACUGA